UGGGGAAUAUUGCACAAUGGACGGAAGUUUGAUGCAGCGACGCCGCGUGGAGGGUGUAGGCCUUCGGGUUGUGAACUCCUUUUUCUCGCGAAAAAGGCACAGUUUUGGCUGUGUUGAUGGUAGUGGGGGAUGAAGCGCCGGCUAACUACGUGCCAGCAGCCGCGGUAAUACGUAGGGCGCGAGCGUUGUCCGGAUUUAUUGGGCGUAAAGAGCUCGUAGGUGGUUCGUCGCGUCUGUCGUGAAAGCCAGCAGCUUAACUGUUGGUCUGCCGUGGGUACGGGCGGGCUUGAGUGCGGUAGGGGUGACUGGAAUUCCUGGUGUAGCGGUGGAAUGCGCAGAUAUCAGGAGGAACACCGAUGGCGAAGGCAGGUCACUGGGCCGUUACUGACACUGAGGGGCGAAAGCGUGGGGAGCGAACAGG
RNAcentral lists this ribosomal RNA (421 nucleotides) under Fusobacteriota bacterium. RNAcentral's name for it is "Fusobacteria bacterium partial 16S ribosomal RNA". It matches the Rfam family "Bacterial small subunit ribosomal RNA", at positions 355 to 776 of the family's 1533-position model. The record is from RNAcentral. Lineage: Bacteria; Fusobacteriati; Fusobacteriota.